GAUGAACGCUGGCGGCGUGCCUAAUACAUGCAAGUCGAGCGAACAGAUGAGGAGCUUGCUCCUCUGACGUUAGCGGCGGACGGGUGAGUAACACGUGGAUAACCUACCUAUAAGACUGGGAUAACUUCGGGAAACCGGAGCUAAUACCGGAUAAUAUAUUGAACCGCAUGGUUCAAUAGUGAAAGACGGUUUUGCUGUCACUUAUAGAUGGAUCCGCGCCGCAUUAGCUAGUUGGUAAGGUAACGGCUUACCAAGGCAACGAUGCGUAGCCGACCUGAGAGGGGGAGCGGCCACACUGGAACUGAAACACGGUCCAGACUCCUACGGGAGGCAGCAGUAGGGAAUCUUCCGCAAUGGGCGGAAGCCUGACGGAGCAACGCCGCGUGAGUGAUGAAGGUCUUCGGAUCGUAAAACUCUGUUAUUAGGGAAGGACAAAUGUGUAAGUAACUAUGCACGUCUUGACGGUACCUAAUCAGAAAGCCACGGCUAACUACGUG
This 497-nucleotide ribosomal RNA is filed under the name uncultured bacterium. RNAcentral's name for it is "partial 16S ribosomal RNA". It matches the Rfam family "Bacterial small subunit ribosomal RNA", at positions 28 to 507 of the family's 1533-position model. The record is from RNAcentral.